GACGAACGCUGGCGGCGUGCCUAAUACAUGCAAGUAGAACGCACAGUUUAUACCGUAGCUUGCUACACCAUAGACUGUGAGUUGCGAACGGGUGAGUAACGCGUAGGUAACCUGCCUGGUAGCGGGGGAUAACUAUUGGAAACGAUAGCUAAUACCGCAUAAUAUUAAUUAUUGCAUGAUAAUUGAUUGAAAGAUGCAACUGCAUCACUACCAGAUGGACCUGCGUUGUAUUAGCUAGUAGGUGAGGUAACGGCUCACCUAGGCGACGAUACAUAGCCGACCUGAGAGGGUGAUCGGCCACACUGGGACUGAGACACGGCCCAGACUCCUACGGGAGGCAGCAGUAGGGAAUCUUCGGCAAUGGACGAAAGUCUGACCGGGCAACGCCGCGUGAGUGAAGAAGGUUUUCGGAUCGUAAAGCUCUGUUGUAAGAGAAGAACGGGUGUGAGAGUGGAAAGUUCACACUGUGACGGUAUCUUACCAGAAAGGGACGGCUAACUACGUG
Molecule: ribosomal RNA, 505 nt
Filed under: uncultured bacterium
Lineage: Bacteria
Description: partial 16S ribosomal RNA
Rfam family: Bacterial small subunit ribosomal RNA
Source: RNAcentral